This 441-nucleotide ribosomal RNA is filed under the name uncultured bacterium. RNAcentral describes it as "partial 16S ribosomal RNA". It matches the Rfam family "Bacterial small subunit ribosomal RNA", at positions 338 to 795 of the family's 1533-position model. The record is from RNAcentral.
CCUACGGGAGGCAGCAGUCGAGAAUCAUUCACAAUGGGGGAAACCCUGAUGCAGCAACGCCGCGUGAAGGAAGACGGUUUUCGGAUUGUAAACUUCUGUUCUUAGUGAAGAAUAAUGACGGUAGCUAAGGAGCAAGCCACGGCUAACUACGUGCCAGCAGCCGCGGUAAUACGUAGGUGGCAAGCGUUGUCCGGAAUUACUGGGUGUAAAGGGAGCGCAGGCGGGAAGCCAAGUCAGCUGUGAAAACUACGGGCUUAACUUGUAGACUGCAGUUGAAACUGGUUUUCUUGAGUGAAGUAGAGGUUGGCGGAAUUCCGAGUGUAGCGGUGAAAUGCGUAGAUAUUCGGAGGAACACCGGUGGCGAAGGCGGCCAACUGGGCUUUAACUGACGCUGAGGCACGAAAGCCAGGGGAGCGAAAGGGAUUAGAUACCCGGGUAGUC